AAAUUGAAGAGUUUGAUCAUGGCUCAGAUUGAACGCUGGCGGCAGGCCUAACACAUGCAAGUCGAACGGUAACAGGAAGCAGCUUGCUGCUUUGCUGACGAGUGGCGGACGGGUGAGUAAUGUCUGGGAAACUGCCUGAUGGAGGGGGAUAACUACUGGAAACGGUGGCUAAUACCGCAUAACGUCGCAAGACCAAAGAGGGGGACCUUCGGGCCUCUUGCCAUCAGAUGUGCCCAGAUGGGAUUAGCUGGUUGGUGAGGUAACGGCUCACCAAGGCGACGAUCCCUAGCUGGUCUGAGAGGAUGACCAGCCACACUGGAACUGAGACACGGUCCAGACUCCUACGGGAGGCAGCAGUGGGGAAUAUUGCACAAUGGGCGCAAGCCUGAUGCAGCCAUGCCGCGUGUAUGAAGAAGGCCUUCGGGUUGUAAAGUACUUUCAGCGGGGAGGAAGGUGUUGUGGUUAAUAACCACAGCAAUUGACGUUACCCGCAGAAGAAGCACCGGCUAACUCCGUGCCAGCAGCCGCGGUAAUACGGAGGGUGCAAGCGUUAAUCGGAAUUACUGGGCGUAAAGCGCACGCAGGCGGUCUGUCAAGUCGGAUGUGAAAUCCCCGGGCUCAACCUGGGAACUGCAUUCGAAACUGGCAGGCUUGAGUCUUGUAGAGGGGGGUAGAAUUCCAGGUGUAGCGGUGAAAUGCGUAGAGAUCUGGAGGAAUACCGGUGGCGAAGGCGGCCCCCUGGACAAAGACUGACGCUCAGGUGCGAAAGCGUGGGGAGCAAACAGGAUUAGAUACCCUGGUAGUCCACGCCGUAAACGAUGUCUACUUGGAGGUUGUGCCCUUGAGGCGUGGCUUCCGGAGCUAACGCGUUAAGUAGACCGCCUGGGGAGUACGGCCGCAAGGUUAAAACUCAAAUGAAUUGACGGGGGCCCGCACAAGCGGUGGAGCAUGUGGUUUAAUUCGAUGCAACGCGAAGAACCUUACCUGGUCUUGACAUCCACAGAACUUUCCAGAGAUGGAUUGGUGCCUUCGGGAACUGUGAGACAGGUGCUGCAUGGCUGUCGUCAGCUCGUGUUGUGAAAUGUUGGGUUAAGUCCCGCAACGAGCGCAACCCUUAUCCUUUGUUGCCAGCGGUCCGGCCGGGAACUCAAAGGAGACUGCCAGUGAUAAACUGGAGGAAGGUGGGGAUGACGUCAAGUCAUCAUGGCCCUUACGACCAGGGCUACACACGUGCUACAAUGGCGCAUACAAAGAGAAGCGACCUCGCGAGAGCAAGCGGACCUCAUAAAGUGCGUCGUAGUCCGGAUUGGAGUCUGCAACUCGACUCCAUGAAGUCGGAAUCGCUAGUAAUCGUGGAUCAGAAUGCCACGGUGAAUACGUUCCCGGGCCUUGUACACACCGCCCGUCACACCAUGGGAGUGGGUUGCAAAAGAAGUAGGUAGCUUAACCUUCGGGAGGGCGCUUACCACUUUGUGAUUCAUGACUGGGGUGAAGUCGUAACAAGGUAACCGUAGGGGAACCUGCGGUUGGAUCACCUCCUUA
Molecule: ribosomal RNA, 1542 nt
Filed under: Salmonella enterica subsp. enterica serovar Paratyphi B str. CFSAN000540
Lineage: Bacteria; Pseudomonadati; Pseudomonadota; Gammaproteobacteria; Enterobacterales; Enterobacteriaceae
Description: bacterial SSU rRNA
Rfam family: Bacterial small subunit ribosomal RNA
Source: RNAcentral